UCCCUCAUAGCUCAGUUGGUAAAGAAUCUGCCUGCAAUGCAGAAGACCCCAGUUUGAUUCCUGGGUUGGGAA
This 72-nucleotide transfer RNA is filed under the name Odocoileus virginianus texanus. It matches the Rfam family "tRNA". Rfam says of the family: Transfer RNA (tRNA) molecules are approximately 80 nucleotides in length. The record is from Rfam by way of RNAcentral. RNAcentral also lists the same sequence under 5 other names. Lineage: Eukaryota; Metazoa; Chordata; Mammalia; Artiodactyla; Cervidae.